AUACUUCAACCACACAUCCUCUACCUCUAUAAAUAGCAAACAACCAAAGCCUCACAAUCUAGUGAAAAUGAAAGAAAAUUUCAAAACAAUGGGAAACACUAUCAAGUCAGCAUUGUUGGUGUUCUUCUUUGUUAUUGCAAUAGGUUUAUCAGACUCGAAUGCAGGACUAAGGUGUUCCAGCACAUACGACUGCAGAGAGAUAGGCUGUCCCUGCAUGAAUGGACUGUGUACUUGCUCAUAUCCACCAGCAGAUAUAUACUCAAACGCGCCAACAGCCCUGCCACGAUCAAGCGGCCGCCAAAAGGUGCAAGAGUCUCGUCUUCCCUGAUGGAGCAUGUAUAUCUGAUCUACCCCAGGAAUGGGAGUUAUUAUCUGAAUCACUAAACCCCUGAACUGCAAUCCGAAAAAGGCGAAUUGGUAUACUUUUGGGCUAGUUUAACAUUACCAAUAAGUAGUUUGCAUUCCUGUACCAUUCUUGUACACUGAAUAAGGUAAAACUGCAAAGAAUUUACACUACAGAAAGUCAGGAACAGCAAUAAAAAUGUCGAUUUAUGGUAGGAAUAGAGUUGAUUACUGUUUGUAUGUUCAUCAUGAAGUUAUCUUAAAGAAACAUAAUGCAGAUAACAUAUAAACUGCCUUAUGUCUUUGAUGCUACUGUAAUCUCAAAACAGAAAUUUUAAAGGAUAAAACUUAUUGUUA
This is a long non-coding RNA of Beta vulgaris subsp. vulgaris (sugar beet), 699 nucleotides long. RefSeq lists it as uncharacterized. The transcript has 2 exons. Lineage: Eukaryota; Viridiplantae; Streptophyta; Magnoliopsida; Caryophyllales; Amaranthaceae. The record is from RefSeq and is a predicted model, not a curated record.